GUAACCCUAUGAACAUAACAGUAUGCCAGUGGAAGGGAGGACAGUAGCGGGUAACCCUAUGAGCUGAACAUAACAGUAUGCCAGUGGAAGGGAGGACAGUAGCAGGUAACCCUAUGAGCUGAACAUAACAGUAUGCCAGUGGAAGGGAGGACAGUAGCGGGUAACCCUAUGAGCUGAACAUAACAGUAUGCCAGUGGAAGGGAGGACAGUAGCAGGUAACCCUAUGAGCUGAACAUAACAGUAUGCCAGUGGAAGGGAGGACAGUAGCAGGUAACCCAACAGUGGUUUGUGACUAUUAUGAUUUCCCACUGUAGCAAAUUGAAUUGCAGUAAUUCCGUUACUGAUUUUAAACAAAUUCUGUUACCAAUUUGGUAACAGAAUUUAGAGUUUUAAACACUUAAUAAUUCAUAAACCAAAUAGAUAUCAGUAAAAACACUAUGACUUAUUGGUAGGUCUAUCUUAUUAGACACUAUGACUUAUUGGUAGGUCUACCUUAUUAGACACUAUGACUUAUUGGUAGGUCUACCUUAUUUAACACUAUGACUUAUUGGUAGGUCUACCUUAUUAGACACUAUGACUUAUUGGUAGGUCUACCUUAUUUAACACUAUGACUUAUUGGUAGGUCUACCUUAUUUAACACUAUGACUUAUUGGUAGGUCUACCUUAUUAGACACUAUGACUUAUUGGUAGGUCUACCUUAUUAGACACUAUGACUUAUUGGUAGGCCUACCUUAUUUAACACUAUGACUUAUUGGUAGGUCUACCUUAUUAGACACUAUGACUUAUUGGUAGGUCUACCUUAUUAGACACUAUGACUUAUUGGUAGGUCUACCUUAUUAGACACUAUGACUUAUUGGUAGGUCUACCUUAUUUAACAC
RNAcentral lists this long non-coding RNA (878 nucleotides) under Salmo salar (Atlantic salmon). RNAcentral's name for it is "lncRNA (ENSSSAG00000097528.1)". The record is from RNAcentral. Lineage: Eukaryota; Metazoa; Chordata; Actinopteri; Salmoniformes; Salmonidae.